Molecule: ribosomal RNA, 426 nt
Filed under: Triticum aestivum (bread wheat)
Lineage: Eukaryota; Viridiplantae; Streptophyta; Magnoliopsida; Poales; Poaceae
Description: partial small subunit ribosomal RNA
Source: RNAcentral
AUUCCACCACCGGCGGGUCAUCACAAGGUUAAUGUCGACGCUGCUAUAUGUAAACAACCUCCUGUCGGGGCCAUAAAUGCGGUUUGCCGGGAUCAAUCAGGAACUUUUGCUGGGUCAGCAUCGGUGGUAUUUCAUGGCAUGACCGAUCUACAUAUACUGGAAGCUUUGGCAUGCCGCGAGGCUAUUGCAUUAGCCAGGGACCUUGCACUUACUCAUUUGGAGGUAGCUUCUGAUUGCCUUGCGGAGAUCAUCGACUCGAGUAGGGAGUUUCAGUCUUGUUCUUUCGUCCAUGAGAAACGUCUCUCUAAUAAGGAGGCUCAUGGCUUAGCUCGACAUGCUUUACAUUUAGGGGAGGGUCGCCAUGUAUGGCUGUUACACCCUCAUGAUACUGCUAUUAUUCCUGUAACUCGUUCUAUUGAGCAAUAA